UCUCAGAGUUCUUCUCGGAGCUUGCAUUUUACGAUUGUUAUCAUAGCAUGUUUGUUGCUACCGCACCAAAGAUCAGAACCGAAUGCCCAUGAAUUUGUUUUAACUUAAACUAGGACUACAACAGCUAGUUGUGCAGCUGCUUUUUUAAAAGAAAUGUGUCAUCGCUCGUGCCGAUGAUGCCAGCAACCCGGAAGUAGCGCCCCAGUCUGAAACAAUGAUAGCUGGCCUCAAUGGCUUCAGGUAGGUAUCACAACAACGUGAGCUCAAACUAUGUAAAACGAGCGCCAUGGGGACAUUUAUAAAAAAAAAAAAAAAAAAAAAAAAAAAAACGAGCGCACACAAUUGAAAUGCUCGCUUUUUAAAAAAUAUGGCCAUUACGCUCUUUUCUACAUAGUUUAAGGUCACGUUGUUUUGAUAGCCACCUGACGCCAUAGUGAAAGAUGCUACGGAUUGGAGCCGAAUGAAGGGGGAGAGGUUGUGCUCCGCAACCCAAACUCUUGGGAUUAAAAAGAUAUUUCAAGUCAUCACUGAUGAGUUCCACAGCGAUGCACCAAAGAAAUUCCAAAUGUUGAAAGUUGGAUGGAUAACACCUUAAGGAAAAUAUCAAACAGAUCCUGAAGAGAAUGUGUCUUGAGAAACCAGGAGGGGACCCUGAGCGAUGUACGAAAUGCGGCCACGUCAUGCCUGAAAUAUGCGCCUGACAGAUGCCGUGGCAGUGGCAAGAAACAGGACGGGAAGAACCAGGAUGGACAGUAAAUAUGAGAGACACAUAGUUAAAGUUACAUAGUGGAAUAUUAUAUUUAAAUUUUAUUGUAACAUAAUUUAAGAAAAAAGUUAUUAGUUCUAAACGUUAAACAUGUAUUACUGUGGCCUGAAUAACCCAAUUGUUUGUAAUUGUGUGCAGUUUGA
Syngnathoides biaculeatus (alligator pipefish) is the source of this 909-nucleotide long non-coding RNA. RefSeq lists it as uncharacterized. The transcript has 3 exons. The record is from RefSeq and is a predicted model, not a curated record. Lineage: Eukaryota; Metazoa; Chordata; Actinopteri; Syngnathiformes; Syngnathidae.